UCCCAAUUGGAAGGGCCGUGGGAGACGACCACGUGGAUAGGCGGCAGGUGAAAAACCAGAAAUGGAACAGCCGAGCCGUACUAAUGGCCCGAGGGCUUCGCAGA
Hymenobacter sp. is the source of this 104-nucleotide non-coding RNA. The record is from Rfam. NCBI's taxonomy places the organism in Bacteria, Pseudomonadati, Bacteroidota, Cytophagia, Cytophagales, Hymenobacteraceae.